RNAcentral lists this transfer RNA (74 nucleotides) under Candidatus Dojkabacteria bacterium. RNAcentral describes it as "tRNA-Gly". It matches the Rfam family "tRNA". Rfam says of the family: Transfer RNA (tRNA) molecules are approximately 80 nucleotides in length. The record is from RNAcentral.
GCGGGAUUAGUUAAACGGUUUAACGUUGCCUUCCCAAGGCAGAGAUACGGGUUCGACUCCCGUAUCCCGCUCCA